ACACGAUGCUGCAUCCCAAAUUUUUCUCUUCCAUUCCGAACGCAUUCUUCUUUCUCGUCGAAUUACAAUGAGAAAUAACGAUCAAAAGUUACUAUUUAAAAUUAUGACGGAUUCCAUAAUUUUAUUAACUCGUUGUGCAAUCCAGAAUAGUACUAUUCGAUGAUACAACUUGUUACUACAUAACAUUCAAUGUAUCUACAAUUUAAACAAUGGAAAUAACGUUAACUAUAUUAAAUUCCUAGAGUAUUAAUAAUUUGCACAGUAAAGAAGUGUACAAUAUAAUUCUUAGAUUGAUAGAAAUUUCAGUAGAUAUGAAUAUUAGAAAAGUGAUUUUCUGCCAAAAUGGAACUAAACUCUUUGACUCCGAUCACUUCACGCCGCCUAAAGUUCUAUACUAG
Nomia melanderi (Alkali bee) is the source of this 398-nucleotide long non-coding RNA. RefSeq lists it as uncharacterized. NCBI's taxonomy places the organism in Eukaryota, Metazoa, Arthropoda, Insecta, Hymenoptera, Halictidae. The record is from RefSeq and is a predicted model, not a curated record.